GUGAAUAUGACAGCCCAAUUAGGAAAAUAGAGCGGCAGAGUGGGUGUGCGAAUGUAUCGCGAUUUCCUUUGUAAAGUUGCAAUUCUCACAGAUUUUCUAACAAACACAUUAUGUAUUCGAUUUAUUAUUAAAUAAACUAUAAAGUUGCUUUGAAGAUGGCCAACAAACGACUCAGUGAACCGAAUUCUCCGGUCCGUAAAGUGUGGAAACCUGAAUUGUACAAAAUUCAACUAGAAGCUCCCACGCCGAAGGCUAUACUACGCCGCCACGAUAUAAACGAUGCACCUGACUGCUUUGGCUACGAAUAUCAUGGGGAAUUGGGUCAUUUGGAGGUGGAGAAAAUGUUGGACGGAACUCCCGACGGUUCUUACCUGAUCCGAAGGAGCCCAGGCUCGUCGGGAUUCUACACACUGAGCGUGCGUUUCAACAACAAAACGAAACACUAUAAGAUCUACCAUCAAUGGAACGUCGGCUACUAUCUGAAGGAGAACUCGAAGCGAUUCGACACAAUACACGACCUAGUCGCAGAUGGUCUCGUGGAUUUCUAUAUGCAAAUCCACGCCGCGCCAAUCAUCAAGGAAAUGUUAUCUCAGACGAAGAAUAACUACCAACAGAGCCCGUAUAUGACACUCAACCGACGGAAGUUACGUGCCUUAUCAAAUGAUAUUCGAAAAUCUAUCAAAUCUGAGAAUAUAACUGAAUCAUCAUCACCAACGGUGAUUAGUCCCAGUCAAGAGGAAGUCGAUGUUCUUCCAGUUGUUUAUGAAAAGCCUCACGUUUUCAAAGUGCAUACCUUCAAAGGUCUAAAUUGGUGUGAGCUGUGCGCUAACUUCUUAUGGGGAUUCACUUCGCAAGGGGUGAAAUGUGAAGAUUGUGCUUUCAUAGCGCAUACCAAGUGCUCUGAGCUGGUUCCCGCGAAAUGUGUGCCAGACUUGAAGAAAAUCCGAGGCGUGUUCGGGACAGAUUUAACUACUCUGGUCACCGCACAUAACGGAACAAUACCAUUUGUUAUACGACGUUGUGUUGAGGAAGUGGAGUGUCGUGGAAUGUUACAGGAAGGAAUCUACAGGGUAUCAGGAUUUGCAGAUGAAAUUGAAGCGUUGAAGUUCGCAUUGGACAAUCACGGAGAGAAGACUGAUAUGUCGGAGACGGCGUAUGGGAAUGUGAAUGUUAUCGCUGGCACAUUGAAAUUGUAUUUGCGACUGCUGCCAGUGCCGUUAAUUACUUUUCAAGCAUAUCCCGCGUUUAUGGCGACCACACGAUGUAAAACGAUUGGCGAGCAAAUUCUGGCGUUGCGAGACGCAUCGAAACAGUUGCCACCGGCACAUUUCAAAUGCUUGAAAUUCAUGAUUGAACAUUUAAAUAGAGUCGCUUCACACUAUGCAGUCAAUAAAAUGAACGAACACAAUUUAGCCACAGUAUUCGCGCCAACGCUUAUAGCCACACCACAACAUAUGACAGACCUAUCGCAGGAAAUCUUCAUGCUAUCAUCUCUAAUAACGAAUUGCCAAGCAGUUUUCAUGUAGAACAUUAUUUGUUAGCUGAUAUGACAAUAGGCAAUGUACGGACAGCAUUUUCAGGGUAGAGGCAUUGCCCAAGGUGAAUAAGAUUUCUGUAAUAUUGUAAAUAGUCGCCAAUUCGGAUAAACGAAACUGUAAUGAUACAUACUGGAGAUUUUGAGGGGGCGCUAGGAAUCUAGAAAUCAGUAUCGGUUGUUAUGCCACAUGAAAAGAGAAAAUGUUAAGCCGAUAUUGUUCUUACGUUGAUAUUUCUGAGUGAAGAGAAGAGUUCGUACAUUUGUGGGAUCAAAAGCUAAUUAAUCCGUACAAAAAGAUACAUUACCAGUAACAAAAAUGUGUAGCGAUCGCAAUAGAAAUAGUAAAUCAGCCAAAUGGCCUAGAAUAGAAGAAUCUACAAAUAUUUACACGAUUGUACUCAUCUUAUUUAUAACGUCAGUAUUUUUAAGCGUCUUAAAAGGCAACUAAUUCGAAAAUCAACGUCAUUUACUUACUUUUCGGAUCAUAUGUUACGAAUCUCUAUUAGUUUUUUUUUACCUUAUAUUACUACACUUAUAACCUUGAUUAAGGAACCGAAUAAUUAACAAAUGAUAGUUGGUUCGUUGGACAGAAAUGGAACCGAAUUUCCGCAAUGUCCGCCCAAUUCAAAACCAAAUAAGUAUCGAAACGUUCUUUUCGUUAUUACAAUCAUGCGGUUGAGUAUUUAUUUAUUAAGAAAAUCAUUCGAAUUUUCGGAAAAAUAUAUUUGCAGAGAAUGAUGUUUAUGAUUUCAUGUUGAUUCGUUAUUGGAUUGUGAUACUGAUAUAUUAAAUUAACAAGAAUCUGAGAAAGGGUAAACUUUACGAGCUCAUUGUAUUCAAAGUUGAUUCCUUUUUAUAAUAACUGUAGGUCUUAAUUUGUACGUUUUAUACAUCCUACUUAAAAAAUAUACAGAUAUUGCCUAGCAAAAUUUAUUGUAUACAUAAAAUACGCCUUUUAUUU
Hermetia illucens (black soldier fly) is the source of this 2498-nucleotide RNA transcript. It is a transcript of the gene named beta-chimaerin, with no coding region annotated. The transcript has 5 exons. NCBI's taxonomy places the organism in Eukaryota, Metazoa, Arthropoda, Insecta, Diptera, Stratiomyidae. The record is from RefSeq and is a predicted model, not a curated record.